GCUCGCACCGGCUCGGCUCGCUCCGGCUCGGCUCCGGUUCGCCUCUGGCUCUGCAUCCCGCGCCUGGCCCUUCCUUUGCUCCAGCUCCUGGGUUGCGCGGCGGCGUCCCGCAACUGCGAGCCGCGGGGGCCGCGCCGAGAAUGAAGUGCAAGCCAAACCAGACGCGAACCUACGACCCCGAGGGCUUUAAGAAGCGGGCGGCGUGCCUGUGCUUCCGCAGCGAGCGUGAGGACGAGGUCCUGCUGGUGAGCAGCAGCAGGUACCCAGACCGCUGGAUCGUGCCUGGCGGGGGCAUGGAGCCCGAGGAGGAGCCGGACGGUGCGGCGGUGCGCGAGGUUUACGAGGAGGCGGGCGUCAAGGGGAAGUUGGGCCGGCUGCUGGGCGUCUUCGAGCAGAACCAGGACCGCAAGCACAGGACGUACGUGUUCGUGCUCACCGUCACCGAGCUGCUGGAGGAUUGGGAAGACUCGGUCAGCAUCGGGAGGAAGCGAGAGUGGUUCAAGAUCGAAGAUGCCAUCAAGGUCCUCCAGUGCCACAAGCCCGUGCACGCCGAGUACCUGGAGAAACUGAAGCUGGGCGGCUCCCCGACUAAUGGAAACUCCGCGGCCCUGUCCCUGCAGCCGGAGAGCGACCCUUAGUAUGUACCGCUCCCGCCUGGACGCCUGGCUGUCGCCUCUCUUCCCAUGCCGCCCGCCUGCCCAUCAGCCCGCCCGCCUGCUUGCCCGCGCCUGCCUGCCAGGAGAGCACCUCUCCUGCCCUGUGUGGUCAUGGGGGCAGGAGGGAGGCUUCUUUUGUUUCCUUGGCAGGCAGACCUCUGAAUCACGCUUGCAAACUGCCGCGGUUGCCAGGUGGUGUUUGCAGACAAUUUGCACGUUUUUCAGAUGCUUUCAAACCGCUUCCUGGUGAUAUGGUAAAAUGCUGUGACCAGACAGUGCAGCAUGGAAUUUCGUUGAAAGAUGAACAGUAAAUAUGUUCAAGAUUGCUCUGAAAUAAUCAUUGAUGUGAAUCCAGUAUUCAAUGGUAUUGUCAAGUUCACAGGAGUACUUUUAAGGUUCCCAAGGAGACAACUCAUCUAGUUUUCCUACGUCUUGGGACUCUCCUCAGUCUAUCCUACCAACUUUUUUGCUCUGGUUGUUGUACUAUUGUACAUGAACAGACUUAAUUCAGCACCUAUAGCCUUUUGUGUGCUUUUCUGAUGUGUCUGCCUUCUUCAUUAGACAGUUCUCUUCGAAAGCAAAGAUAUUUUUCCUUACUCUGCAUACCCUGCAGCCUAGACACUACUUGAAAUAUGGUUGGCAUCACUGAAGGUCUUUGACUCAAUUAGUAUUUUGUGAUAACUUUGUGGCAAAACGUUUCCCUUCCAAUCUGGUGCUAAUAGAGUAUAUGCUGUUUAAGCACCAUGUGUGUGGCUUAUGUGUAUCAGGUAUUUUCAUAAUGUUUUAAGAUGGCUUAAAAUGUUCAAGGACAAGAACUAUUACUCAGAUUUCUAUGCUAUACCACACAGUGGCUGGCACAGUUUCAUAUCAUGUCAUCACUUCAAUUUUAUAGACUCAGUCCUUCAUGUAACAACUUUAGUACUGUCACUUGCUUAAAAUUUUAUUCAAUAAAACCACUUGCUAUAAAGACAAUUGUAAAAACUACAGUGAACACAUAUAAUUGUAAGUUUUUAUAAAAAUAAAAUUUAAAAUGAUAUACAACUAAUGCAUUAAAUUUUUUGCAAUGCCCUAACCACUUCUUUCAUGUCAUUUUAACAUCUCCUUCCAGAAAAUACUAGGUUAUUUUUCAUUUUGCAGAUUUGACAUACUGUAUUUUUUUAUGGCAAGCACCAAGAAAAACUGGCGUAUAGGCAGUUUCCAAAAUUAAUUAUGUCAUUCAGUUUUUCUGGGUGUCUUCAGCCUCUCUCCCCCUCUUUUAGUGUGCUGUGAUUUUUAUCACUUAGUCAACUUCUUGGUGCCGCCUACUUUCUGCAUGUAAAAUGCAGAGGGCUGAGAACACUAAAUUGGUGUCACUUAGGCUAUUUGGAAAGAGACUUCUGUAAAGGGAGAACACAAAAUGAAGGACUUAAAUGAUGGGACUUGGAUCAACUCUUUCCAGAAGAACAAAUUUAUGAAAUCAUAAGACAAAGAUGUUUAGAGGAACUUUCAUGGAGUUUUGCCACAGAGCAUGUGAUGUCAACACUCUUCUUCAGCUCUUUGCAGAGGUUCCAAAGAGGCUCUAACAUAGUUGUGUUUUUUUCUCUUUCAUUAUAAAGCAUUACAUUGGGAAAGGUCUGAACUCCAUUUUAGUGUUACACCCUUCCUCGUGGUACCAGUGAAAUGUAUUGAUUGUGUCCCCAUAUCUUACAGAAUUUAAAAUAGAAACACAUCCUUAUGAUUUACUGGGUUUUUAAGGUGUGGUAUCCUUAUCUUUUAGAUAGAAAACUGUACUGAAAAUUUUACAGACAUGGUACUGGUAUUUUUUUCAAUAUAAUCAGGGUGGUAUAAACUUGUAUGUAGAUGAAACAAAAUUGGCUCUGAUUUGAUAAUUGUUGAAGCUGUGUUUGAGAAUUCAUGAUUAUUCUCUAUACUUUUGUAUAUGUUUGAAAUUUUCCGUAAUAAAAAUUAAAAAAGUAUUCCUUAGAGUUUACUUGUAGGCCACCUCUCUCUUAGAAUUUAAGUAUGGAUGGCUGGUAAGAAUACUAAUCUGCAUUACAGAAAGUUAAAUUCUCUCCAAAAUCCUAUCUUUUUUUCCUGAAUUAAACCUGUUGACUCACUGCUCUUCUCUUUUCAAGAAUUCUUUUCUUGGAAGACCCCUAGUUAACAUAUGCAAAAGGAUUAAGCCAUACAGGAGUAGACAUCAUGGUAAACAUAAGCUAAGAUCCCAGAUGGAACAGCAUACCUCAUUUUAUAUUUCUUUUUAAAACUAUCAUUUCUUUCUGAUUACAAAAUUGCUUCAUCUUCAUAAAAUUUUGAAAAUGAAAAUGAAUAAAAAUUACACAUGACCCAUCUCCCCAGAGAUAAUCAAGCUUGAAAUACACACACACACGCUCUUUUUAUUCUUUCUUCUCUGCAACUAUAACCAUAUGUAAGUCAAAAUAGGAUGGCACCAGUGAGUCCCAUCCACCAGAAAGCUUCCAAAAAGUCCAUGAUGCUUUUACCACUAAGCACACUCCACAAAACACCAUGCUCUUCUUUAGAAAAUUUUACGCUAAUGCUUGGGUCAUUAUGGAAUUUGUGCUCCUUCUGAUAUGCAAAAAAAUGGAAAACUAAACAGAAAACUUGGUUGUGAAAUCUAGACAAAGCUCUAUUAACCAAAUCUUGGUUGGUGCAAGGCAGCAUAGGCCUGCUUUGUAAUUCCUCCACAGAUUAUUUAUUCAC
This is an RNA transcript of Nannospalax galili (Upper Galilee mountains blind mole rat), 3356 nucleotides long. It is a transcript of the gene named nudix hydrolase 11, with no coding region annotated. The record is from RefSeq and is a predicted model, not a curated record. The transcript is spliced from 2 exons. Lineage: Eukaryota; Metazoa; Chordata; Mammalia; Rodentia; Spalacidae.